This 831-nucleotide ribosomal RNA is filed under the name uncultured bacterium. RNAcentral describes it as "bacterial SSU rRNA". It matches the Rfam family "Bacterial small subunit ribosomal RNA", at positions 54 to 883 of the family's 1533-position model. The record is from RNAcentral.
CAUGCAAGUCGAACGGAGCUAUUAGACGGAAGCCUUCGGGCGGAAGAUUAAUAGCUUAGUGGCGGACGGGUGAGUAACGCGUGAGUAACCUGCCUCUCAGAGGGGGAUAACGUUCUGAAAAGAACGCUAAUACCGCAUAUAAUCAAGAAACCGCAUGAUUUUUUGAUGAAAGGAGCAAUCCGCUGAGAGAUGGACUCGCGUCUGAUUAGCUAGAUGGUGGGGUAACGGCCUACCAUGGCGACGAUCAGUAGCCGGACUGAGAGGUUGAACGGCCACAUUGGGACUGAGACACGGCCCAGACUCCUACGGGAGGCAGCAGUGGGGGAUAUUGCGCAAUGGGGGAAACCCUGACGCAGCAAUGCCGCGUGAAGGAAGAAGGUUUUCGGAUUGUAAACUUCUUUUGUUAAGGACGAAGAAUGACGGUACUUAACGAAUAAGCUCCGGCUAACUAUGUGCCAGCAGCCGCGGUAAUACAUAGGGAGCAAGCGUUAUCCGGAUUUACUGGGUGUAAAGGGUGCGUAGGCGGCUAAGCAAGUCAGAUGUGAAAUACACGGGCUCAACCCGUGAGCUGCAUUUGAAACUGUUUAGCUUGAGUGAAGUAGAGGCAGGCGGAAUUCCCGGUGUAGCGGUGAAAUGCGUAGAGAUCGGGAGGAACACCAGUGGCGAAGGCGGCCUGCUGGGCUUUAACUGACGCUGAGGCACGAAAGCGUGGGUAGCAAACAGGAUUAGAUACCCUGGUAGUCCACGCUGUAAACGAUGAUUACUAGGUGUGGGUGGACUGACCCCAUCCGUGCCGCAGUUAACACAAUAAGUAAUCCACCUGGGGAGUAC